RNAcentral lists this ribosomal RNA (497 nucleotides) under uncultured bacterium. Its description in RNAcentral is "partial 16S ribosomal RNA". It matches the Rfam family "Bacterial small subunit ribosomal RNA", at positions 28 to 507 of the family's 1533-position model. The record is from RNAcentral.
GAUGAACGCUGGCGGCGUGCCUAAUACAUGCAAGUCGAGCGAACAGACGAGGAGCUUGCUCCUCUGACGUUAGCGGCGGACGGGUGAGUAACACGUGGAUAACCUACCUAUAAGACUGGGAUAACUUCGGGAAACCGGAGCUAAUACCGGAUAAUAUAUUGAACCGCAUGGUUCAAUAGUGAAAGACGGUUUUGCUGUCCCUUAUAGAUGGAUCCGCGCCGCAUUAGCUAGUUGGUAAGGUAACGGCUUACCAAGGCGACGAUGCGUAGCCGACCUGAGAGGGUGAUCGGCCACACUGGAACUGGGACACGGUCCAGACUCCUCCGGGAGGCAGCGGUAGGGAAUCUUCCGCAAUGGGCGAAAGCCUGACGGAGCAACGCCGCGGGAGUGAUGAAGGUCUUCGGAUCGUAAAACUCUGUUAUUAGGGAAGAACAAAUGUGUAAGUAACUAUGCACGUCUUGACGGUACCUAAUCAGAAAGCCACGGCUAACUACGUG